GCUGGGUGCGGUGGCUCACACCUGUAAUCCCAGCACUUUGGGAGGCCGAGGUGGGCAGAUAACUUGAGUCCAGGAGUUUGAGACCAGCCUGGCCAACAUGGUGAAAACCCAUCUCUGCUAAAAAUACAAAAAUUAGCUGUGUGUGGUUGCGGGGGCUGCUAAUCCCAGCUACUUGGGAGAAUGAGGCAGGGAAAAUUACUUGAACCCAGGAGGCGGAGGUUGCAGUAAGCCGAGAUUGUGCCACUGCACUCUCGCCUGGGCAAUAGAGUGAGAUUCCACCUCA
RNAcentral lists this small RNA (283 nucleotides) under Macaca nemestrina (pig-tailed macaque). RNAcentral's name for it is "Metazoan signal recognition particle RNA (ENSMNEG00000014995.1)". The record is from RNAcentral. Lineage: Eukaryota; Metazoa; Chordata; Mammalia; Primates; Cercopithecidae.